AGCGAACGCUGGCGGCAGGCCUAACACAUGCAAGUCGAACGGAUCCUUCGGGAUUAGUGGCGGACGGGUGAGUAACACGUGGGAACGUGCCCUUUGGUUCGGGACAACUCAGGGAAACUUGAGCUAAUACCGGAUGUGCCCUUCGGGGGAAAGAUUUAUCGCCAUUGGAGCGGCCCGCGUCUGAUUAGCUAGUUGGUGAGGUAACGGCCCACCAAGGCGACGAUCAGUAGCUGGUCUGAGAGGAUGAUCAGCCACACUGGGACUGAGACACGGCCCAGACUCCUACGGGAGGCAGCAGUGGGGAAUCUUGCGCAAUGGGCGAAAGCCUGACGCAGCCAUGCCGCGUGAAUGAUGAAGGUCUUAGGAUUGUAAAAUUCUUUCAGCGGGGACGAUAAUGACGGUACCCGCAGAAGAAGCGCCGGCUAACUUCGUG
This 433-nucleotide ribosomal RNA is filed under the name uncultured bacterium. RNAcentral describes it as "partial 16S ribosomal RNA". It matches the Rfam family "Bacterial small subunit ribosomal RNA", at positions 29 to 507 of the family's 1533-position model. The record is from RNAcentral.